Molecule: RNA transcript, 4290 nt
Organism: Xenia sp. Carnegie-2017
Lineage: Eukaryota; Metazoa; Cnidaria; Anthozoa; Malacalcyonacea; Xeniidae
Gene name: supervillin-like
Exons: 8
Source: RefSeq, a predicted model, not a curated record
CGCGAGUGGCGAAGAUUUGUGUUUUACUUCUAACAACGUCGUAAGCGUUUCGUUUAAUUGGGUGGUUUUUUACCGUUUUAACCGUGAUCUAACUUUUUCAUCUCGCUGAAAUUUGACCUCAUUCCUAAAAAUAUCUGUAAGUUGGUAUCCUAGCCACAUUUUUAUUAUGUUGCUCAAAGUCAUGUAAGAAUAGCAAGCGAAGUGUACUGAUAUAUUAUCAAAGCCAAGCGUCAUAGCUCGGGAAUAUAUUAAAUUUUACCUCGUCUAUCGCUGGAGUUAUGGAUGUGGAAAGGUUGCGUUUAGAAAGAGAGGAAAAUAGACGACAGAGACGGGAGCGUAUUCGAAAAAUAUUAGAUGAUGACACUACUGGAAGUUCACGUUGCAGAGACGAAACCAAAACUUUAACGACACUAUCCACGUCAACUGUAAGAUCGAGAAGAGCUCGUGAGGAUCAUACGGCAACGCACUCUGCGAGUUCUGAGAGAACGCGUCACACCAACAGUCGUCGAGACGAGCAAACGGAUGGGUCUUCUCCGCGACCCACUAGAGCUAGCCGUCUUAGAGAUAACGCAAUAUCAUCUAAUACUUCCACCCGACACUUGACGAGCACUGCCGAUGAUGCCACCAUGAGGUCUGUUACAAGAAGGCGUAGGGAUGAAGACAGCACUACAACGGCUGAGAAAAACCAGUUUCGAUCAGAUAGAACUACUCGCACCAGGCACACUGCAACGGAUAGGAGCCCUCUACGAACUGAAAGAGCUACACGCUCCUUCAACCAGGAAAGUAGCCCCGAAACUGGUAACAUGUUGGACAGCGCCCGCUUAAGACGAGAAGCAAGAAGACGAAGAAAUAAGGAACAUAGUGAUAAUCAAAAUUUUGGCGUCGGUGUUUUGGAAAACGCCAUGAGUCUGCUAAGACCAACAAAUACGAAGAUAGUACGAAGGAUAGCAUUGAUCUAGAACAAAUUGAUAAAUCUGCAGCAUCAGAAGGAAAGAGACGAAAAAAUGUAACACGAGAUCAUGAAGAGAAUUUUGUGGAGUCUGAAAGUGUUAGACAAGAUUUCUUAUUGGAGGAUAACGAAAGUAACGCAACGAAAUUUGCUCAACUCGAAGAUUCAGAUCAAAUUUCAGCAGCCGAGGGAAGAAAAAGAAGAAGGAGGAAUCGGGAAUUUGAUGAGAGUGAUGUCGCUUCUCUUAAAGUGCAAGAGCAAUCUGAAAACAAAUUCAAAGAGGAGGAGAGUGUUGAAGUUGUCAGACAACCAAAGGAACUCGAAUCAUUACUUGUGAACGAAGUCGAAAGUGAUGAUCACUCUAAUAAAGCUAGUGAAUGCAAUGGAAAUUUGGAAGAAAAUGGAAUGGUGCUAUCUAAUGAUCAUGUAGAUGGUACUGCGUUAUCGAAGACAAGCCAAGUGUACGGUAUUCGGGACAGAAAGAUGGAAGUGUCAGAUGAGGGUGCCAAUGGUAUUGUGGAAAGUAAGGCAAUUCGUAACUAUGAUCUGCAUUCAUCUGAGAAAGUUGCACCUUUGGAUGAUGGAAGUGAGGAAUCGGUGCAAGACAUUGCUCUUCAAAGGGCAUCUGAAAUUCAGGUUAAGAAAACUGUUAGUGAAGAUAUAAGUGUUGUAGAUGAUGAUCUUCAUGGUGUCAUUGGUGUAACUGAGAUCAAUGAUACUGCAACUGCAUCUGAAGUGGAAACGAUCGAAACUUCUUUUAUUGCAAGUGGAAACACGAAAGGAAAUGAUUUGAAACAAGAAAUGAGUCAAGAAGUGGAAAUAGAUAAUAGUGAUGAAAGUCUUCAUCAUAAUAAAGUAGUCGAUGAGACUUCAGCUGAUGCAAGUAAUGUUGUGAAUGCGGAAACAGCCAAAGUCGUGACGAGUACGUCAGGUAAUGUUUGUGAAACAAAUGAUUCCGACUCUAAGGAUCACAAUGAUGUGAACAAAAACGAAAAUAAAGCUGGUGUAUUUAAUGAUGAGGCAAACGUGAGAAAAGAGAAGUCAAAGUUAAAUGAAGAUGAAGAAAGGUUUUGUAAGGAAGUGGCCACCACUGAUACCGUAGAAAUGAAAGAUCGCAUCGAUGGGCAAGUGCCGAGACCUGAUAACGAAUCAACAAAAACCGAUAAAGGGUUAGAAAACACUUCUGAUAACCGGAGGAGAAAUGUUCGAGACGGCAAAGAAGUUGAUGGUGAUGAAUCCUGGAAGAAAAAUGUUCGAAAAACGCGAGGCGCUUUCGAUAUAAACAGAACCGCGGAAUUGACUGCUCUAGGUAAAGUGGGGAAGAUUAGGAACAAGAUGAAGAACUGCGAAGCGCGUGAUGUUGAGUCUGCCGAACAAUGGAAAAAGCAAAUUAAAACGGGGCGAAAACACAAAUCGUUCGAUGAAGAAACAGAGAAGGAACUACGUGAGCUGUCGCGUAGACGAGACCUGCGAAACAUUGUGCAAUCAUGCGAGGAGAAGGACAAAGAAAGCGCUGAAGCCUGGAAACGAGUGGUGAAAAAAGAUUCGAGGAAACACAAGUCGCUGGAUGAAGAAACUGAGAAUGAAUUGAAGGAAGUCUCCAAAGCAAGCUUGCUUCGAAAUCGCAUCAAAGAAUGCGAAGAAAAGGACAUCGAGAGCGCUAGUGCUUGGGCGAAAAAGGUGAAAAAAGGCGCCAGGAAACACAAGUCGCUGGAUGAAGAAACUGAGAAUGAACUGAAGGAAGUCUCCAAAGCAAGCUUGCUUCGAGAUCGCAUCAAAGAAUGCGAAGAAAAGGAUAAAGAGAGCGCCAGUGCGUGGACGAAAGAGGUGAAGAAAUGUUCCAAGCCCUUGGACCCCGAUAACGAAACGGAAAUCUCCGAAGAGUUAAAAGAAAUUUCCGAGAGUAGUCGACUGAAGGAUAUAAUAUCAUCGUGUGCCGAGCGUGACGAGAAGCGGAACGAGUCGUGGAAGACUGCCAAAGAAAGAGGGAAGUCUCUUGAUGAAGAAAGUGAACUAGUUGAGUUGUCUGGCUUGAGUGAUGUCAAGAAUAAGAUCAUACAAGAGUGCGAGGAGAGAGACAGGCAAAGUGCCCAUGCAGCGAUAAAGAAGGUUGCGUCGGAUAGCAAGAAAAAAAUAAACACAACUGACGAAGAGUUGAAAGAACAGGCAAAAUCCUUAGAUGCCAACAUUCACACCACUGCGGAGAAUGAGCAAGUUGAAACGAGCUCAAAAAAUCUGAUUAAAGGCGAAGAAUCAACUAAGAUCGAUUUGACCUAUGAAGAGAAAGAAGAUGCGAGUGAAAAAACCUCUUCUACACAAGAUUAUGGCUAUAAAAGGACGUAUCAACACGUGAAAGAUUCUGGCAAUAAAGUUGAGACUGUUUGGGUUGAAGAUAGUGCAUCACAAUCAAAAAAAGAUACUAUCGCAACCAACAAUGCUGAAACCAACUACGAUUGUGAGAAUUCGAGAAAAGAGGAUUCUUCUAAAGCACGUAUAUGGAACAAGAAUGACGGUAAAUUGAAAAAUGAAAUAACGCCGCCAACGAAGAGGGAUUCUGGAAGAAUAUCGCUCGAUAAACGAGCUCAUAGUAAGACAACAUCACCUACCAAGUCAUUAAAAGGUGGAACCGCUUCCAUCACGGAUGAUAAGAAUGAGGCAAAUGGCGGCAGUGGUGGUCACGUAUCACCUGUAAAAAACAAGAAGAAGAUAAGAAGUGAUGUCGGAGGAGUGUCUCCAACUAAAGGACUUUCUGGACGAAUCUCUCCCGAAAAACACGAGUCGUCUUCUGGGAAGGGUCGAUUGUCGCCUACCAAAGAAAAAACGGCAAAAUCGAAACUCGAUAAUAUUCGUGCGAAUUUAAUGGAAGGUGGAAAGAGUAAACCGAAAAACAAGCGAGAAAGUCCGAACAACAUUAAGAAAGCUGGUAAUAUCAAAGAUAAAAUAGCCGCUUGUAAAGAACGAGACAAAGCCGCGCCGAGGACAAUCACCUUUUCUGCGCCUUCAAAACCCAAGGUUCAGGAUGAGCCCAAGAACGCCACGGAAAAGAAGCGGGCACGUUUGAGGAAAGCGGGUCUAAUGCACCCGUCGAUAGUAUUAACGAUCAAUAUAUGCCUGCUGAGGAAGAAGCGAUAAGUGUUGACAUAAAGGGUGCUCUGUCUUUCUGGAAUGAUCCUAGUAAUGAGGAAGCGCAAAAGGAUAGCGAAAGUUCAUCUAAAGAUGCUGAGAGACCACCGCCUGUGUUUUUGAUUAAUGUUAGACAAGGUUGGAAAAAGAGGAACUGCAAACUGAAUGUGUCCGAGUUUAUCAAGGAACUAUUGAGUUCCAACUGCCAGCAACGAAAA